Molecule: unclassified non-coding RNA, 240 nt
Filed under: fungal sp.
Lineage: Eukaryota; Fungi
Description: partial internal transcribed spacer region
Rfam family: Eukaryotic small subunit ribosomal RNA (bases 1-46)
Source: RNAcentral
AAGUCGUAACAAGGUAACCGUAGGUGAACCUGCGGUUGGAUCAUUAAUAAAUUUAUAAAGGUUAAAGAUUUUUACAGAUCUUUAACUCUUUAACAAAUUGUGAACUUUAUUAAAGUCUUUUGGGAUGGUAGUAAUAUUAUCCCAAAAACCCCUUUUAAACAACUUUAAUUUUAUCAAGUCUUUAACAACAUUUAAAUUUAAUUUAAAAAACAACUUUUAACAAUGGAUCUCUUGGCUCUC